CUCCAGACUCCUACGGGAGGCAGCAGUGAGGAAUAUUGGUCAAUGGGCGUAAGCCUGAACCAGCCAAGUCGCGUGAGGGAUGAAGGAUCUAUGGUUCGUAAACCUCUUUUAUAAGGGAAUAAAGUGCGGGACGUGUCCUGUUUUGUAUGUACCUUAUGAAUAAGGAUCGGCUAACUCCGUGCCAGCAGCCGCGGUAAUACGGAGGAUCCGAGCGUUAUCCGGAUUUAUUGGGUUUAAAGGGUGCGUAGGCGGAACAUUAAGUCAGCGGUAAAAUCGAGGGGCUCAACCCCUUUAAGCCGUUGAAACUGGUGAUCUUGAGUGGGCGAGAAGUAUGCGGAAUGCGUGGUGUAGCGGUGAAAUGCAUAGAUAUCACGCAGAACUCCGAUUGCGAAGGCAGCAUACCGGCGCCCGACUGACGCUGAGGCACGAAAGCGUGGGGAUCGAACAGGAUUAGAUACCCUGGUAAU
This 467-nucleotide ribosomal RNA is filed under the name uncultured bacterium. Its description in RNAcentral is "bacterial SSU rRNA". It matches the Rfam family "Bacterial small subunit ribosomal RNA", at positions 329 to 794 of the family's 1533-position model. The record is from RNAcentral.